This is a long non-coding RNA of Peromyscus maniculatus bairdii (prairie deer mouse), 620 nucleotides long. RefSeq lists it as uncharacterized. Lineage: Eukaryota; Metazoa; Chordata; Mammalia; Rodentia; Cricetidae. The record is from RefSeq and is a predicted model, not a curated record.
GGGAGGGCUGUCCCUGCCCCUCACUAGACACUGUGGCUGGAGAACUAGCCCCAACCCUCACAGGAGAGCUGGCCCCAAUGUCCCAUGGCCCCCCAAACUCAGGAGAGAUGAUCCCACCCCUCACCAUGGGCAUGGAAGAACUGGAUUUGAUGGCAUGGUGUAGGAGAGCUGGCUUUGCCCUUCACCUGAGGAGGGUGGAGCCAGCUGCCUAGACUGACCAGCUCAGCUAUCAUCUAAGCCCACAUCCAAGGCCUUGGGUUGGCCCAUCCUAGCAUUCACUCCAUCUCUGACCUGCUGGAGCAUGUGAAGGGACUGGCCCUAUGGAAUGAUACCCACAGGAUCUCCAUGACUCUGGCUGGUGCAGGAUGUCGGAGAGAAGUUUUGGUGAGGAUCCAGUUAUGAUGGUGCACCAGAAACCAGAGUCCUUGAACUGGACCAAUGACUCAUUGCAAUGAACAUUUGCAGGUGCAGCUGAUUGAACAAAAGGGGGAGUGUGAGAGCCAGCCUGGAAACAUCUUGAUGGACAGCCCCAAUGGGGUUUAUUAAGCUUUCCUCCUCCAUGAUCCUGCCUCAAGUCUCAGAAAUUCCCAAUUCCCAAUAAAAUUGUUCUCUUUCUUAAA